UACGGAGGAUGCGAGCGUUAUCCGGAAUUACUGGGCGUAAAGGGAGCGUAGGCGGGAAAUUAAGUUAAGUGUGAAAGCCUUGGGCUUAACCCAAGAAAUGCACUUGAUACUGGUUUUCUAGAGUGUAGGAGAGGUAAGUGGAAUUCCUAGUGUAGCGGUAAAAUGCGUAGAGAUUAGGAGGAACAUCAGAGGCGAAGGCGGCUUACUGGACUAUAACUGACGCUGAGGCUCGAAAGCGUGGGGAGCAAACAGG
Molecule: ribosomal RNA, 253 nt
Filed under: uncultured bacterium
Lineage: Bacteria
Description: partial 16S ribosomal RNA
Rfam family: Bacterial small subunit ribosomal RNA
Source: RNAcentral